Molecule: ribosomal RNA, 451 nt
Filed under: uncultured bacterium
Lineage: Bacteria
Description: partial 16S ribosomal RNA
Rfam family: Bacterial small subunit ribosomal RNA
Source: RNAcentral
GUGGGGAAUAUUGCGCAAUGGGGGAAACCCUGACGCAGCGACGCCGUGUGAGGGAAGAAGGCUUUCGGGUCGUAAACCUCUGUCAGGAAGGAAGAACCUCUCAAGGCUGAACAAGCCUUGGGACUGACGGUACUUCCAGAGGAAGCACCGGCUAACUCCGUGCCAGCAGCCGCGGUAAUACGGAGGGUGCAAGCGUUAAUCGGAAUCACUGGGCGUAAAGCGCGCGUAGGCCGUCUUUUAAGUCGGACGUGAAAGCCCUCGGCUCAACCGGGGGACUGCGUUAGAUACUGGGAGACUUGAGUCCUGGAGAGGGUGGCGGAAUUCCGGGUGUAGGAGUGAAAUCCGUAGAUAUCCGGAGGAACACCGGUGGCGAAGGCGGCCACCUGGACAGGUACUGACGCUGAGGCGCGAAAGCGUGGGGAGCAAACAGGAUUAGAAACCCGUGUAGUCC